AACGAACGCUGGCGGCAUGCCUAAUACAUGCAAGUCGAACGAGAUCUUCGGAUCUAGUGGCGCACGGGUGCGUAACGCGUGGGAAUCUGCCCUUGGGUUCGGAAUAACUUCUGGAAACGGAAGCUAAUACCGGAUGAUGACGUAAGUCCAAAGAUUUAUCGCCCAAGGAUGAGCCCGCGUAGGAUUAGCUAGUUGGUGGGGUAAAGGCCCACCAAGGCGACGAUCCUUAGCUGGUCUGAGAGGAUGAUCAGCCACACUGGGACUGAGACACGGCCCAGACUCCUACGGGAAGCAGCAGUAGGGAAUAUUGGACAUUGGGCGAAAGCCUGAUCCAGCAAUGCCGCGUGAGUGAUGAAGGCCUUAGGGUUGUAAAGCUCUUUUACCCGGGAUGAUAAUGACAGUACCGGGAGAAUAAGCUCCGGCUAACUCCGUG
RNAcentral lists this ribosomal RNA (433 nucleotides) under uncultured bacterium. RNAcentral's name for it is "partial 16S ribosomal RNA". It matches the Rfam family "Bacterial small subunit ribosomal RNA", at positions 29 to 507 of the family's 1533-position model. The record is from RNAcentral.